Molecule: ribosomal RNA, 788 nt
Filed under: uncultured bacterium
Lineage: Bacteria
Description: bacterial SSU rRNA
Rfam family: Bacterial small subunit ribosomal RNA
Source: RNAcentral
GUCGAGGGGCAGCGGGGCAGGAAGCUUGCUUUCUGCCGCCGGCGACCGGCGCACGGGUGAGUAACACGUAUGCAACCUGGCCGUGACAGAUGGAUAACCGGGAGAAAUCCCGCCUAAUACAGCAUGACGCCGGGAAGGGACAUCCCUUUCCGGCCAAAGGGGGCGACUCCGGUCACGGAUGGGCAUGCGGCGCAUUAGGUAGUUGGUGGGGCAACGGCCCACCAAGCCGACGAUGCGUAGGGGUUCUGAGAGGAAGGUCCCCCACAUUGGAACUGAGACACGGUCCAAACUUAUACGGGAGGCAGCAGUGAGGAAUAUUGGUCAAUGGCCGGAAGGCUGAACCAGCCAAGUCGCGUGAGGGAAUAAGGCCCUACGGGUCGUAAACCUCUUUUGUCAGGGAGCAAGGCCGCCCACGUGUGGACGGAAGGAGAGUACCUGGAGAAAAAGCAUCGGCUAACUCCGUGCCAGCAGCCGCGGUAAUACGGAGGAUGCGAGCGUUAUCCGGAUUUAUUGGGUUUAAAGGGUGCGUAGGCGGCCUGCCAAGUCAGCGGUAAAAUUGCGGGGCUCAACCCCGUACAGCCGUUGAAACUGCCGGGCUCGAGUGGGCGAGAAGUAUGCGGAAUGCGUGGUGUAGCGGUGAAAUGCAUAGAUAUCACGCAGAACCCCGAUUGCGAAGGCAGCAUACCGGCGCCCUACUGACGCUGAGGCACGAAAGUGCGGAGAUCAAACAGGAUUAGAUACCCUGGUAGUCCGCACAGUAUACGAUGAAUGCUAGCUGUCCGGGGCGA